RNAcentral lists this ribosomal RNA (552 nucleotides) under uncultured Syntrophaceae bacterium. RNAcentral describes it as "bacterial SSU rRNA". It matches the Rfam family "Bacterial small subunit ribosomal RNA", at positions 8 to 533 of the family's 1533-position model. Lineage: Bacteria; Pseudomonadati; Thermodesulfobacteriota; Syntrophia; Syntrophales; Syntrophaceae. The record is from RNAcentral.
AGAGUUUGAUCAUGGCUCAGAAUAAACGCUGGCGGCGUGCCUAACACAUGCAAGUCGGACGAGAAAGGCUGAUUUUCGGAUUAGCCGAGUAAAGUGGCGCACGGGUGAGUAACGCGUAGGUAACCUACCCUUGUAUUUGGGAUAACAGGACGAAAGUUUUGCUAAUACCGGAUACGACCUGAGGGCGGAGGUUUUCAGGUGAAAGUCGGCCUCUUCGAGAAAGCUGACGUACAGGGAUGGGUCUGCGUCCUAUCAGCUAGUUGGUGGGGUAACGGCCUACCAAGGCGACGACGGGUAGCUGGUCUGAGAGGAUGAUCAGCCACACUGGCACUGGAACACGGGCCAGACUCCUACGGGAGGCAGCAGUGAGGAAUUUUGCGCAAUGGCCGCAAGGCUGACGCAGCAACGCCGCGUGGGUGAAGAAGGCCUUCGGGUCGUAAAGCCCUGUCAGGUGGGAAGAAAGGUUUCGUCAAGAAACGGAUGGAAUUUGACGGUACCACCAGAGGAAGCACCGGCUAACUCCGUGCCAGCAGCCGCGGUAAUACGGAGGGU